AUUGAACGCUGGCGGCAGGCCUAACACAUGCAAGUCGAGCGGAUGAAGGGAGCUUGCUCCUGGAUUCAGCGGCGGACGGGUGAGUAAUGCCUAGGAAUCUGCCUGGUAGUGGGGGAUAACGUCCGGAAACGGGCGCUAAUACCGCAUACGUCCUGAGGGAGAAAGUGGGGGACCUUCGGACCUCACGCUAUCAGAUGAGCCUAGGUCGGAUUAGCUAGUUGGUGGGGUAAAGGCCUACCAAGGCGACGAUCCGUAACUGGUCUGAGAGGAUGAUCAGUCACACUGGAACUGAGACACGGUCCAGACUCCUACGGGAGGCAGCAGUGGGGAAUAUUGGACAAUGGGCGAAAGCCUGAUCCAGCCAUGCCGCGUGUGUGAAGGAGGUCUUCGGAUUGUAAAGCACUUUAAGUUGGGGGGAAGGGCAGUAAGUUAAUACCUUGCUGUUUUGACGUUACCAACAGAAUAAGCACCGGCUAACUUCGUG
RNAcentral lists this ribosomal RNA (484 nucleotides) under uncultured bacterium. RNAcentral's name for it is "partial 16S ribosomal RNA". It matches the Rfam family "Bacterial small subunit ribosomal RNA", at positions 30 to 507 of the family's 1533-position model. The record is from RNAcentral.